Molecule: ribosomal RNA, 268 nt
Filed under: uncultured bacterium
Lineage: Bacteria
Description: partial 16S ribosomal RNA
Rfam family: Bacterial small subunit ribosomal RNA
Source: RNAcentral
AACGAACGCUGGCGGCGUGCCUAACACAUGCAAGUCGGACGAGAAAGUCCGUAGCAAUGCGGGCCGGUAAAGUGGCGCACGGGUGAGUAAUACGUGGGUAACCUACCUCUCGGUGGGGGAUAACCCCGCGAAAGCGGGCGUAAUACCGCAUAAUAUCCUGAGGCCAAAGACCGAAGGGUUAAAGGUAGCCUCUGCUUGCAAGCUAUCACCGAUUGAGGGGCCCGACCGCCCCACUUAGCUAGUUGGUAGGGUAACGGCCUACCAAGGC